AAGAGCAACAGUCCUAGUGGCGGGUCCAGCUCUGCAGCCCUGGAGUCAGCUCCCGCAGUAGCUCCGGAGCUCUCCGCCUGCAGGGCCUGGAGGCUCCGGGCGGGG
Molecule: microRNA precursor, 105 nt
Filed under: Canis lupus familiaris (dog)
Lineage: Eukaryota; Metazoa; Chordata; Mammalia; Carnivora; Canidae
Description: mir-8834 microRNA precursor family
Rfam family: mir-8834 microRNA precursor family
Source: Rfam by way of RNAcentral